GACGAACGCUGGCGGCGUGCUUAACACAUGCAAGUCGAACGGAAAGGCCCUGCUUUUGUGGGGUGCUCGAGUGGCGAACGGGUGAGUAACGCGUGAGUAACCUGCCCUUGACUUUGGGAUAACUUCAGGAAACUGGGGCUAAUACCGGAUAGGAGCUCCUGUUGCAUGGUGGGGGUUGGAAAGUUUCGGCGGUUGGGGAUGGACUCGCGGCUUAUCAGCUUGUUGGUGGGGUAGUGGCUUACCAAGGCUUUGACGGGUAGCCGGCCUGAGAGGGUGACCGGCCACAUUGGGACUGAGAUACGGCCCAGACUCCUACGGGAGGCAGCAGUGGGGAAUAUUGCACAAUGGGCGGAAGCCUGAUGCAGCAACGCCGCGUGCGGGAUGACGGCCUUCGGGUUGUAAACCGCUUUCGCCUGUGACGAAGCGUGAGUGACGGUAAUGGGUAAAGAAGCACCGGCUAACUACGUG
Molecule: ribosomal RNA, 468 nt
Filed under: uncultured bacterium
Lineage: Bacteria
Description: partial 16S ribosomal RNA
Rfam family: Bacterial small subunit ribosomal RNA
Source: RNAcentral